RNAcentral lists this ribosomal RNA (481 nucleotides) under Fusarium verticillioides. RNAcentral describes it as "eukaryotic LSU rRNA". The stretch from base 117 to 270 matches the Rfam family "5.8S ribosomal RNA". The record is from RNAcentral. Lineage: Eukaryota; Fungi; Ascomycota; Sordariomycetes; Hypocreales; Nectriaceae.
UACCAAUUGUUGCCUCGGCGGAUCAGCCCGCUCCCGGUAAAACGGGACGGCCCGCCAGAGGACCCCUAAACUCUGUUUCUAUAUGUAACUUCUGAGUAAAACCAUAAAUAAAUCAAAACUUUCAACAACGGAUCUCUUGGUUCUGGCAUCGAUGAAGAACGCAGCAAAAUGCGAUAAGUAAUGUGAAUUGCAGAAUUCAGUGAAUCAUCGAAUCUUUGAACGCACAUUGCGCCCGCCAGUAUUCUGGCGGGCAUGCCUGUUCGAGCGUCAUUUCAACCCUCAAGCCCUCGGGUUUGGUGUUGGGGAUCGGCGAGCCCUUGCGGCAAGCCGGCCCCGAAAUCUAGUGGCGGUCUCGCUGCAGCUUCCAUUGCGUAGUAGUAAAACCCUCGCAACUGGUACGCGGCGCGGCCAAGCCGUUAAACCCCCAACUUCUGAAUGUUGACCUCGGAUCAGGUAGGAAUACCCGCUGAACUUAAGCAUA